CCAGGUUGAUUCUGCCUGACGUAGACGCUAUUCCCUAAGAUUAACCCAUGCAUGUUUUUGACAUUUGAAAAAUGGACUGCUCAGUAAUACUCACUUUAUUUUAUGUACAUUUGAAAUUAACUACGUUAAAGUGUAGAUAAGAUGUGUACAGUAAGAGUGAGACCUAUCAGCUAGUUGUUAAGGUAAUGGCUUAACAAGGCAGUGACGGGUAACGGUAUUACUUUGUAAUAUUCCGGAGAAGGAGCCUGAGAGACGGCUACUAAGCCUAAGGAUUGCAGCAGGGGCGAAACUUGACCUAUGGAUUUUAUCUGAGGCAGUUAUGGGAAGUAAUAUUAUAUUGUUUCAUAUUUUAAAAGUAUAUGAGGUGAUUAAUUGGAGGGCAAAUCAAGUGCCAGCAGCCGCGGUAAUACUUGUUCCAAGAGUGUGUAUGAUGAUUGAUGCAGUUAAAAAGUCCGUAGUUUAUUUUUAAGAAGCAAUAUGAGGUGUACUGUAUAGUUGGGAGAGAGAUGAAAUGUGACGACCCUGACUGGACGAACA
RNAcentral lists this ribosomal RNA (537 nucleotides) under Nosema sp. PSH-2011. RNAcentral describes it as "SSU rRNA". It matches the Rfam family "Microsporidia small subunit ribosomal RNA", at positions 1 to 594 of the family's 1311-position model. The record is from RNAcentral. Lineage: Eukaryota; Fungi; Microsporidia; Nosematidae.